Molecule: long non-coding RNA, 208 nt
Filed under: Elaeis guineensis (African oil palm)
Lineage: Eukaryota; Viridiplantae; Streptophyta; Magnoliopsida; Arecales; Arecaceae
Description: long non-coding RNA (EGUI_LNC035434)
Source: RNAcentral
UUAAAAAUUCAGGUAGUCCAGCACCAAAGCACAGUGAGUUGCUUGUAAGUCACCGUGGUGAUCUCUGAUUAAAGGGAUACUUAUACUCAUAUCCCUUCGAAGUGACUCUUGACAGCAGAGUACUCCGAGUUGAUCACGUUUAGUGAAAUAUACUCCUAUAUUUCACUUGCAUGCCAUACCUGUAUCUCUAUGCUCCUUGGUUAAGAGG